AGUGGAGCACAUCGCCUCCUCAUCUGCCAGCUCCUGAAAAGCUCUCAAGUGGAGUGCUGGCAGGGGACAGAGCUCUACAGGUGGCUUUCGGCUCGCUGUACAGAGACGAUGUGUUAAUAAAACCCAGUCGAGUAGUUGCACUUUUAGCAGCAGCCUGCAUGCUGCAGCUUGUAAGUAAUAAACGCGCGGCGUUUGUGUGCUCUCCUGUCAGACAAACAGCUCGUAACACACACACACACUCUGUUUCAGCCAGAUAAACGCAUAAUUCUCGUAUAAUAAGUGGAAAAGAAAGCCAAACACAAUGCCCUGGUUUUGUUUCAAAACUCUGUGGCUGAGACUCGGUCGGAAUAUUAAGUGAGAUUUAGAGGAAUCGUAUCUGGAGGUAGA
This 387-nucleotide long non-coding RNA is filed under the name Anas platyrhynchos platyrhynchos (common mallard). RNAcentral describes it as "lncRNA (ENSAPLG00000017362.1)". Lineage: Eukaryota; Metazoa; Chordata; Aves; Anseriformes; Anatidae. The record is from RNAcentral.